AACAAUUGUUAUUAAAGCAGUCCGUGGAAAUCUCGUGAAUAAUGAAUACGAAUCUCAUAACUGCACUCAGUUAAGUUUCCCCAAAGGUUUCACGAAGAACUGCUGUUCGCCAGAGGUCGUCAAAAUGGAAUACAAUAAUAUCAUAGUCAGCAUUCCCAACGAGAGGUUUUCCUGCACUCAUGGAUUGGGAGAGGUCAUUUACAAAGAAAUGCUAGCCGCACCUUCCGACGCGAUUAUCCAGGUGGAUGAUACAACUGAUGAAGUGACACCUAGAGAGAUCUCCUGAGACGCUGCAUCCGAACGGCCAGAACCGAAAGUCUUACAUUUUCAAUCAAGCAGCAGACCUUGACAUUUUGUCUACUAAACCCUGAAUAAUAGAGGAGCUGAAAACCUUGAACCUUGGGGUUUCAAAGUGGAGCCUUAAACUUUGAACGAGGUUGGAUUUUAAUUCCUACAUCUUACGCCUUGAAAAUGGGGUGUACAAGUAUGAAUCUUUAAUCUCAGACUUCGGCCAGGGUGCAACCCUCACACAUUAAGCAAUUCAUUAAACCAUUGGAGUUUAAACAUAUUAUUUGGAAUAUCUCCAAACUGGAGUUUUAGUUUACAAUUUCAGGAGUCAAGGCCAAUUACUCGAUGCUCAGGGUUCAGGAUGAGAAUUGAAAACUCAGCAUUAAAGGCUUAUGAUUUAAGGUCCAGAUCUAGUGCCUCAGUAUUCAAAAAACAAAUGCGCGCGCACUAAGAUUGAAGAACAGAAACAAGCAGCUGAUAGUUAAUGGGUUUUUAAAACGCGCGAGGUUUCUGGCAGCGGGUGUUAACAUGGGAUUGGUCAAUUGGGUCCAAAGUUAUAAGUUGAACGAGCAAAUGUGGCCAUUACAAAUAAUUAGCGACAUUUUGAAGGCGUGUUUAUAAAAAUUGUAAUAGUAGAGAUGAAGCAGAGAAACAUUUUUGUGGAUUCGGCGAUUCGUGGUCAUUUUAGACAAAAGACAUUCGGUUCCCUAGGGAGUAAUUCAUACCCAUCAGAUCCCCAGGUGUUAGAUUCUCCCCAAAAACAAUUAAAUCCUUCCAAACUCUCGUGGUCAUUUUUGACAAAGGACCAUAAUCUCUUCCUUAUCUGGGUUACCCCAGACACCUCGGCCCUACAUUCUCCCCAAAAACAACGAAAACCCUCCGAACUCUCUGUAACAAAAGACCUUCACUAUUUUAAUGUUUCUGAACGCUUUGAAACUUCCACAAAAGAAAAACUUUCACCAAGCAAAAUCAGACAACCUACUUUUGUUGAUAUUUUGGCAAAUGCAAGCGUUUAAACAUUUUAUUUGUAGCGAGUCAAGCCCUCUUUGUUCCGUUUCCCGCGUAAAAACAGUAAACUAAUCCUUUGUGGCACGUUUAUUUAAUUUGUCCUUCACCGAAAUUGCCUGUCUUAAUUUAUGCGACGGACCGCAUGUAUGACGUUCAUUUUUUAUUUUUGUCUUACUUGCACAAUUUGACUUGAAUACCUCCGACACGUUUAAUUAAUUUGUUCUCUGGUUUUGUGCUCCCGAGUGAACUUUUUUGUGUCGUUUCUUAGUCUCUUUGUGGCUAAAACUCGAAUUUCGUUACCGCUUGUUUGAUCGCAAAAUAGUUGCGAGCUUUAACGCGGCUCGAGCCGUAGACCCUUCAGAAAAUCUCUCCAGAUUAAUCCCUACCUAUCCCCACGCUUGUAUGCCGGCUACGUUUUUUUGGGUUAGGGCGUAUACCUUUCUCGUUAUAACACGACUCAGGUACAUAACUUCCUUGCAGCAGAACUGACAUUUGGUUCGAUUGGCACGAAGUUCCUGGAGAGCCUUGAGGACAAUCUCUACGGCUUUGAUGUGUUCUUCAAGCUUUGGCGACAGUGGGAUUAGAUCGUCCAAGCAAACUACUAGGUGAAUAUUGCGCAGAACAAGUGUCGCCUGUCCAUGUCUCUGGAAGUUUGCAGGCGCGUUGCUUAACCCGAAAGGCAUCCGUGGAAACCGGUACAUUCCAGAGGGGAUAACGAAUGAUGUCUUGUCUUGAUUUUUUUCGUGGACUUUGAUCUGCCGGUAUCGUCCAUAUUUUCCCAGAGACGGUCGAACUCGAUUUGUUGGUACCGCUUAGAUGCUCAGGAGGAGGUCGGGAGGCUGGUUUUCUUAGCUGAUGCCAAACCUGCCCAGAUUACUUCGGCUUCCUCAAUGAUUGGAGUCUUUUUGGUGGUGGAAUGUGUUCGUUCUCUCCAAGUGGAGUGUAGCAUGAGAAGCCGGUACUCAUCGGGCGUGCAGUGCACCUCCUCGUUUGUUUUUCGUAGCUGUAUCUAGCAAGCGGGUUGUGGUGAGUGAGGUUCUUGGAGACAUUUUCUUUUUAUAUAAAAGAAAUCCUUUGCGCCAGCCGGUCAUGUUGGUGACGAUUCCGGCCUCUUCAAUGGCAUCUACCGGCAGCAUAUUCUCAUCAACCAGGGUAACGUCCGUGUCUGUAUUGGUGCACUGUGGUGGCUGUGUUUUUCCAAUAGCCGUUCUAGUUCGUGACUUCUGAUACUGACUCUGGCGCCGGGGUCCUGAAACACUGUACUAUUAUGCCCUAAUAUGAAUAGGAGGACGGCUGGGCGAGAGCGGGCCAUACAUUCCACAUUCAGAGCGCAGAAACUGACAUCUUUGCGCCUCGGAGUUUUUAAUUCCAGCUCCUUCUUCUUUCGACAUAGUUUGAUAUCGUGGCCUCGAAAAUUGCAGAAGAAACAUCGUUACUUCUUCUUGCCGUUUCCGAAUUUCCUCUUGGUUCCGUUUGAGUCUGUGUACCCCAUGGUCAAUGCGGCGGUUCGGGUAUCAUCGAGGAGUUGUUUCCCCAUCAGAACUUUUAUUCUGGUCAAAAAAGGGCAAGGGUAGUAACAGCGCAAUGUAAUUAGAACACGUUCUUCUUAUCCAGCGACAUUUACAAUGCAAACGGCUCUAGUACAAACUUUCGUGACUUUUGUUUAAUUUAUAACGUAGAUAAAUACGUGGAGCAAGUGUGUGCAUCUCAUUCGUGUUCAGUAUGGCGCAAGCACAUCUCGUUAUUGCCUUCAUCGUGGCCUUCUCCAUUUUAAAGGUAAUUUCGAUCUUGACCUUCCGAUGUAACCUUUUUUUUUGUAAUUUAGAUCCAAUCCCUCGUCGAUCAGAAAAUCGCCGAGCGCGAUUAGGGCGUAGAGCCUUUCAUGACCGAAUGCAUCUGUGCCUCAAACGCAAAUCCGGAUGAGUCGUACAGCUGGUUCAGGAACCGAACGUUUUUCAAAUCUUCGUGUUUCAAGUGUUUACUUCGGUGCGUAACCACAAAGAUGGGCCAUUUCAAAACGGACGGUACCGUGGACAUUGAUGGUACUGUUGCACAGUACCGUGGCGUGCUAACCAAGGAUCAGGUCACCAAGUGCGUCACACCCCAGCAGAAUAAUCUGGAUCUCUGCGACAAGGCCUACCAAAUUUUGCUGUGUAACGAGAAAACGAUACGUGGCACCGUGGUGGUCUAUUAAUGGCUAUGCACAAGGAUUUGUACUGAGUUGGUGUGAGUCCAUUUGAUGAAAAUAAAUGUAAAUAAUAAUGUAAAUGGAAUGCAACCGAACCCUUUUCCAGUCUUCAUCACAAUCUUCUUGGUCAUAUGCAACGCCUCCUUUCCUUUUAGCAAAACCGCCAAUCUCUAAUUGCUGCAAGUUUCCACCAGACCCCAUUUGCAACUUGCUUUGCAACCAAGGCCUUUUGUUUCAUUGUUUAACUGUUACGAUGCACAUUACUCCAAGGUUCUGUAGUUUCUUUACUUCAGCACCAGAACGUUCCUAAAGAAAAAAAUCCCAAUUUUUCAUCAAAACUCUUUUCGUGGCACCAGUCCCUUUUAAAACCACUAUCUGGUGCGUCGCCUAGUGUUGAGUUUAUUUAACCUUAUCGGCAGAACGUCAGUACCUGUUGCCAAACUCUUCAAUUUUGAGACAUAGGUCGCUGGUUUUAUUAGCCAUUUUUUUCUACUAAGAUUGUUUUAUCAAUCACAUCGGUGGUUUAGUAUCACCAGGGCUUUUUGUACUCACCAUUUGUCGCUUAGCCACCCAGUUUAGUUUUAAAUUUUGCUAAAGAAAGAAGCUUUUUGGUUUUAUAGUCGGGCCCAAUUUGGUGGCCCAGAUUCCUCUUCUUUACCACCUAAAACCACUUCGGUUUGAUAACUUAUGUAUUGCCGGGAACGCUUUUACUGUAUUGUCGCCACAAGGAUGGGUUUGUUGACUCGAUGGGUGUCAACUUCAAAACCUUGAAUAAUGUUGUUUUUGUCUUUUUUGUACAUCAGAUUGCAUUUGGAGUAUUUCUUUGACUGUAAGCUUCUUUUUUUCGCUUAAUUUCUCUAGCUCACCAUGAGGGGAAGCCACUGUUGAAUUCUGGUGUUCAAUCUCUUCGAAUUCAUUGAAUUCUUACGGAAUUUCUUUCCCAAGUUAUGGUUUAGGAUUAGUAGUAGGAUAGUUUCUUACAAAGCUCCCUAGGUCAUCGUCCGCUUUUCAGGUCUCGUUUUAUUGUGCCAGCAAAUAGCACGUAGAGGCCGCUUCUGUCGCUAGCUUCUCUACUUUACCACUAUCCUGCUGCCAUCUGUCGUCCGUCUCUCAUUUUUUGAAUUUUUUUUAACUUCUUUCGGUUUCACUAUCUUCCCACAAAUGUUUUUUUUCCUUCUGCGAUUGCUUAGUUAGUCUAUUUCACCACCACAAUCCUUUAACCCUCCAAAUCCGCUUUUGCGCCAUUGUAUGUCUCUUAUUUCGCCUUUAUUGGAGUCUCCCUCACUCAGUUAGUCUCUGUAUAUUACCAGCAGUGGAAAAAUUCUUCCUCUGUGCCACCAAAAACCCUUUUAGUACCAUGACGGUACGGUAAGCUCUUUGCUGUCUACAGGAGCCAUUUUACUUAUUUGUCGGUAUCUUGGCUCAAACUUUUUUGACAAUACUUUCAAUAGUCUUAUUUUGGCACCAGAUCGGUAGUUUUUUAAUUGAAGGAUUUUAGGCUGGCAUGUAUCAAACCUUAAACGUUAAUAGUUCAGGAAUUCUGGUUCCACGAAGAUUUCCAUUACAGAAUUUAUUGUACGAUUUCCCAAAAAGGAUUCAUACCCGUUGCUCUACGUUUACGUUAUUCUGGAUACGUAUAACUAGCAAAACUUAAGUACCAUAGCAACGAUUGUCUUAAUAAUCGUUGCCACAGAUUUUAAGUUCGACUUAACUUUCAGCAAGGCUUACUUUUGUUGGUGCAACUGGGGCUCAAUGUCAUUUUCCGUGGUACCAUUGUGGGAUUCAUUUAGUACCACAAAGGGUAUUGGACGGUUGGUGUCCAAAUCGUUUUGAGUUUUGGGAAUGGGUGCGAGCUUGGAAAGAUGAAAGAUUCCAUGUUCAACGUUCCAACCCGAAGGUUUAAUUCAAACCCAAUGUAUGAGAUUUUGCAACGGUUAAGGUUUAGUUGAAGAUUAAACCCCCAGGGUUAAUAGUCUUAUGCUUAACGGUGUUAACGAAACGUUUUAACCUCAACGUUGGAAGCUCAAGGUUUAAAUCUUGAGAAACGUUUAAUAGUUCAUAGAGUUCAAGGUUUGAAAUUACAGUUUAAGGUUUUCCCUGAAUAAUUCCAGUUUUAUGAGGGAAGGUUUUGAUGCAUUGAUUUAAAAGCUUAAAUUCUCAGUUGCAACAGUAAAGGCUUACAAUUCCCAGAUGAAAGGUUAAAUUUUAUUACCUUUAAACAGAAAGGUUUGAUUUCAGGUUUAAAUUGGAGCAUAGGUUCUAUACCUAACGGUUCGAAUCCGAAGAUCUGGCACUUGAUGCUCAAGGUUCACGCUGUUAGUAAUGAGAAGGCUUAAUAGGAAACCCUCAGGGAUUAAGUUCAAUGGUGUGCCGUUGUAGGAUUCAUUGAGUUCCACCAAUGCUAUUGGAUGGUUGGUGUCCAAAUCGUGCGGCAGGUCGGUAAUGAUGGCAUCUUUAACAGCCGGAUGGGUUUUGAGAAUGGGCUCGAGCUUGGACGGAAAUAUGGACACCUUCUUGUAAUAGAAGACCUCUUUGAUACGGUCGGUGAUGUAGAAACAGAAGUGCUCGUCGUAGUAGCCGAGAUCGCCCCCCAUUCGUCCCAUUUGGACGCGUUCUUCAGCAUACUCGGUUGGAACACCGAUCCGAAGCGUAUCUCGCCGACUCUUCUCUCCGGUCUUCGGAUGGACAACCUUAUACGAGAAACCCACGUUAGGUCUUCUGUACGAUGUGCCAAUUUAAUGACGUUCAAAGUUCCGAAGUCCCAUCCCAACGUCACACCGCCGAACUCGGUUUGGCCGUAGAGUGGCAAAACGACCGUUAUCAGUAGAAUGUUUCGCAGCUAGUCAUACGCAGUACGAACACGUGGCACCACACACGAAAAGAAAAGCCAAACUGUAAUUACACGGUUGUGGGCUGUUGAGGAAUUGCUGCACCAGAGAGGGCGCUAACAACAUGAUGGAAAUCUAAACCGUAAGACUUAGCUUAAUUCGGUUUUCUGACGUCAGCAUACCUGAUAUUUCAUCUGGAGUGAAAUCGGAAAUGAAGACGUCGAAGUGUGCAAAGUCGACAAUCGGCACGUCUGCUCCAUGUUCCAUUACUGCUUUGUUUAGUUUGCUGCCACCGGAAGAGUCAGUGAAGAUGAUGAGCGGUUGGAUUUUCUUUAGGAACUCCACCGUGUCGGUCAACGACAGAUUGAAAUCAAUGCACGACGGAAGCGCCCCGAUGAAAUAGCUGGCGAUUAACGGAACGACGGUGUUGAUGUCGUUAUGGAUGUGCACCAGUACAGGAUCAGUAGCGUCGACUUUGGAAGCCUCAAACGCCCUGGCCGUUCGGAUGCAGCAUCUCAGGAGAUCUGUAUAGGUGUCGACUUCGCCAGUUGUAUCAUCCAUCUAGAGAAGAGCUAACCUGAGCGUACCUGAAUAAUCGAGGCGGAAAGUGCGGCUAGCAUUUAUUUGUAAAUGACUUCUUAUAAUCCUUGAGUGUGUGGGUUUUAUAGCGAAUGCUAAA
Long non-coding RNA from Photinus pyralis (common eastern firefly), 6991 nucleotides. RefSeq lists it as uncharacterized. The record is from RefSeq and is a predicted model, not a curated record. Lineage: Eukaryota; Metazoa; Arthropoda; Insecta; Coleoptera; Lampyridae. The transcript has 4 exons.